RNAcentral lists this ribosomal RNA (115 nucleotides) under Minisyncoccota bacterium. Lineage: Bacteria; Bacillati; Minisyncoccota. The record is from RNAcentral.
UGUAGUUAUUCAAGGGAUAUGGCCCCAACUCUUCCCAUCCGAACAGAGUCUUGAAACAUAUUACCGCUGAUGAUACUAGAAUGCAGAUUCUGGGGAAAGUAAGCAAUAGCCGCAC